Molecule: ribosomal RNA, 494 nt
Filed under: uncultured bacterium
Lineage: Bacteria
Description: bacterial SSU rRNA
Rfam family: Bacterial small subunit ribosomal RNA
Source: RNAcentral
GGUGCUGCAUGGCCGUCGUCAGCUCGUGUCGUGAGAUGUUUGGUUAAGUCCAGCAACGAGCGCAACCCCUGUUGCCAGUUACCAGCACGUGAAGGUGGGGACUCUGGCGAGACUGCCCAGAUCAACUGGGAGGAAGGUGGGGACGACGUCAGGUCAGUAUGGCCCUUAUGCCCAGGGCUGCACACGUACUACAAUGCCCAGUACAGAGGGGGCCGAAGCCGCGAGGCGGAGGAAAUCCUAAAAACUGGGCCCAGUUCGGACUGUAGGCUGCAACCCGCCUACACGAAGCCGGAAUCGCUAGUAAUGGCGCAUCAGCUACGGCGCCGUGAAUACGUUCCCGGGUCUUGUACACACCGCCCGUCACAUCAUGGAAGCCGGUCGCACCCGAAGUAUCUGAAGCCAACCGCAAGGAGGCAGGGUCCUAAGGUGAGACUGGUAACUGGGAUGAAGUCGUAACAAGGUAGCCGUAGGGGAACCUGCGGCUGGAUCACCUC